GGGGAGUACGGUCGCAAGAUUAUAACUCAAAUGAAUUGACGGGGGCCCGCACAAGCGGUGGAGCAUGUGGUUUAAUUCGACGCAACGCGAAGAACCUUACCUACUCUCGACAUCCAGAGAACUUUCCAGAGAUGGAUUGGUGCCUUCGGGAACUCUGAGACAGGUGCUGCAUGGCCGUCGUCAGCUCGUGUUGUGAAAUGUUGGGUUAAGUCCCGCAACGAGCGCAACCCUUAUCCUUGUUUGCCAGCGAGUAAUGUCGGGAACUCCAGGGAGACUGCCGGUGAUAAACCGGAGGAAGGUGGGGACGACGUCAAGUCAUCAUGGCCCUUACGAGUAGGGCUACACACGUGCUACAAUGGCGCAUACAGAGGGCGGCCAACUUGCGAAAGUGAGCGAAUCCCAAAAAGUGCGUCGUAGUCCGGAUUGGAGUCUGCAACUCGACUCCAUGAAGUCGGAAUCGCUAGUAAUCGUGGAUCAGAAUGCCCCGGUGAAUACGUUCCCGGGCCUUGUACACACCGCCCGUGCACACCAUGGGAGUGGGCUGCAAAAG
This 550-nucleotide ribosomal RNA is filed under the name Vibrio neocaledonicus. Its description in RNAcentral is "bacterial SSU rRNA". It matches the Rfam family "Bacterial small subunit ribosomal RNA", at positions 875 to 1423 of the family's 1533-position model. Lineage: Bacteria; Pseudomonadati; Pseudomonadota; Gammaproteobacteria; Vibrionales; Vibrionaceae. The record is from RNAcentral.